CGAACGGGUGAGUAAUGCGUGACCAACCUGCCCCAUGCUCCAGAAUAGCUCUUGGAAACGGGUGGUAAUGCUGGAUGCUCCAACUUGACGCAUGUCUUGUUGGGAAAGUGUUUAGUGGCAUGGGAUGGGGUCGCGUCCUAUCAGCUUGUAGGCGGGGUAAUGGCCCACCAGGCUUCGACGGGUAGCCGGCCUGAGAGGGCGGACGGCCACAUUGGGACUGAGAUACGGCCCAGACUCCUACGGGAGGCAGCAGGG
RNAcentral lists this ribosomal RNA (255 nucleotides) under uncultured Gardnerella sp. RNAcentral's name for it is "partial 16S ribosomal RNA". It matches the Rfam family "Bacterial small subunit ribosomal RNA", at positions 99 to 354 of the family's 1533-position model. Lineage: Bacteria; Bacillati; Actinomycetota; Actinomycetes; Bifidobacteriales; Bifidobacteriaceae. The record is from RNAcentral.